This 497-nucleotide ribosomal RNA is filed under the name uncultured bacterium. RNAcentral describes it as "partial 16S ribosomal RNA". It matches the Rfam family "Bacterial small subunit ribosomal RNA", at positions 28 to 507 of the family's 1533-position model. The record is from RNAcentral.
GAUGAACGCUGGCGGCGUGCCUAAUACAUGCAAGUCGAGCGAACGGACGAGAAGCUUGCUUCUCUGAUGUUAGCGGCGGACGGGUGAGUAACACGUGGAUAACCUACCUAUAAGACUGGGAUAACUUCGGGAAACCGGAGCUAAUACCGGAUAAUAUUUUGAACCGCAUGGUUCAAAAGUGAAAGACGGUCUUGCUGUCACUUAUAGAUGGAUCCGCGCUGCAUUAGCUAGUUGGUAAGGUAACGGCUUACCAAGGCAACGAUGCAUAGCCAACCUGAGAGGGUGAUCGGCCACACUGGAACUGAGACACGGUCCAGACUCCUACGGGAGGCAGCAGUAGGGAAUCUUCCGCAAUGGGCGAAAGCCUGACGGAGCAACGCCGCGUGAGUGAUGAAGGUCUUCGGAUCGUAAAACUCUGUUAUUAGGGAAGAACAUAUGUGUAAGUAACUGUGCACAUCUUGACGGUACCUAAUCAGAAAGCCACGGCUAACUACGUG